This is a long non-coding RNA of Bos taurus (domestic cattle), 349 nucleotides long. The record is from Ensembl. NCBI's taxonomy places the organism in Eukaryota, Metazoa, Chordata, Mammalia, Artiodactyla, Bovidae.
GAGCCGAGUGGGCUCUGGCAGUGGGGGAUUAGCAGGCUUUGAGGGUCCUUGUUCUCCUUCCCAGCCGCCCUCCAGCCUUCCAUCUGGACGGGGACUUUGUGGUGAGCACCUCACCUCUACACCAGCCCACUCUCAGGUCCAAGGAUUCUCUGGGGGAAGCUGGUGGUUCGGAACCUCAGGGCCCACGUGGAGCUCGGGUCUGCAGCAGGAACCCCCUGGGAUAACUCCGUCUGUCCUGAGGCCCCUCCCCAGGGCUGCAGCAGAGUACCUGACUUACGGAAAAGGGCGUUCUUAACUCUAUGCAGUGUCCCUCUGAAGAGUCCCUGAGCCUGCUUGCACCCCCUAGAGG